Molecule: ribosomal RNA, 253 nt
Filed under: uncultured bacterium
Lineage: Bacteria
Description: partial 16S ribosomal RNA
Rfam family: Bacterial small subunit ribosomal RNA
Source: RNAcentral
UACGUAGGGUGCAAGCGUUGUCCGGAAUUAUUGGGCGUAAAGAGCUCGUAGGCGGUCCGUCACGUCCGCUGUGAAAACCCAGGGCUCAACCCUGGGCUUGCAGUGGAUACGGGCAGACUAGAGGUAGGUAGGGGAGAAUGGAAUUCCCGGUGUAGCGGUGAAAUGCGCAGAUAUCGGGAGGAACACCGGUGGCGAAGGCGGUUCUCUGGGCCUUACCUGACGCUGAGGAGCGAAAGCGUGGGGAGCGAACAGG